CCUGGAAGAGGUGGCCUUUGCCUCAUAUCUUGAAAGAUACAUAGGAGUUUUCUGGAAGAAGAAGUAGGAACGUGGCCACCAUAUCCUGAGAGUCAGGUCAGGUAAUACAUACUCCACACGGGAUUUUUAAAAAAUAAUGUUUCAUGGAAGUUAAACAAUUUGUCCAAGGGGAAGAAGAUGUGGAGGGGUCAUCACACACUCUCUGGGGAGACACCUGCCUCAUUCUGGACCCAGGUAGUGCUCAUCUUCUUCUAGAAACGGACAGACUCACAGUCUCUUAGGAUGAUGGAAGAUGGCCCAGAGGACGCAGUGAAAUCACCCGUGUUAGGCUGACGUCAGCCAGUGUUCUGUUCACCGAGCUGCCUGUCUUGCCAUCUUUACAGCAGUAUCAAAUCUUAUUUAUGGCCACACAGUAAAUCGACCUUACCC
Molecule: long non-coding RNA, 429 nt
Filed under: Rattus norvegicus (Norway rat)
Lineage: Eukaryota; Metazoa; Chordata; Mammalia; Rodentia; Muridae
Description: long non-coding RNA NONRATT032547
Source: RNAcentral